AAAUAUGUGAAGUUUUUCUCUUAUCCCUUUUUGUCUUUUGUUGAAUAUCACAUAUGAUAUUCUCAUAAGAAUCUUUAAGUAUAACCCUGUUUCAUGAUUUCUUGUGUCUUUCGAUUUCUAGUCCUGAAGAUUUUGGAUCAGAAGUGUAUGGCUAUGCUCAGCACUGUCACUCGUUGCCAAGACAUGAUAACUGAGAUGAUUACCUGUGCUGUUACUGAAGGGGAUGACAAUCACGGUGAGUGCUUUCACUACUUUGUAUAAUGUGACCUGUUCUGUUCAAGAUUUUAGGAUGUUCUGGGAAGGUUCUCUAGUCAAACUAUUUGACAGCCUGCUUUUGGAUAGUGAGCCCUUGGGGUCAAGAAACAAGUAUUUCUUGAGCUUUUGUUUGUUCAGUUUGAAAUGGACUACAGUAUUAAAAUGUUUUCAAUCAAGUUGUUUAGAAUAUUGAUUAGAUUCAAGUUUGGGAGGUUUGACCUUCUGGAUUCCCGGAGUUAAGCAAUGCUGGUUAUGCGGCACCUUAGAUCCUAUCACAAGAGCUGCUGUUACACAUGGUAAAGAUUGUGGCAUGGUAUCUAAAAGUGAGAAGUUAAGAGUAUAUCAUAUAUUCCUUUACAUUCGUUUUUGUUAUUUAUGGAUGACUUAGUGGAAUCCAGUGACAUGAUCACAUCACAGUUCAUCAUCCUGGCAGAAAGCAACUCGAUUCCUACAUGGGAGAUUUUCCAAUUGAGAACAGGUGAAUUGUGAAACAAGGUAUGAUUGAUGUUAUUUAACAGGUUAAAAACUCCUCCUGUAGAUUUUUUGCUAACUUUGACAGAUAACAUCCAUUACAACAAAAACAAUUAGAUAAGACAGGAAGGCCACUUCUCUACUCCCGUCGUUCCAUCAUUAAAUAUUAAUUUCACUGUGAUUUAUUAUAUAAUAAUGGUGAAAAUUGAUUGAAUAACAGCUGUGCUUAGAAGGAUAAUAUGCAUACUGAUUUACUAUAUCUAGGUAGGUGAUUAGACUAUAAUUAGAAGUAAUAAGAAACUCCUCUUUUGGAGCCUAAUAAAACAUUGGUAAUUGUUAUAAUGACAGUACGGAAUUUUUUUGUUGGAUGUAAACCAAACAUAUCCCACUAAUAUUGUGAUCAUCCACAACGAUAAGCAACUUUUUUUUGUUUUUUUAAAAAAAUGAAGUUAUAACGGCGUUUUUAAACGUCACUAUAGAAUACCAACGGUUACAUUUUGAAAAUAAAAUUGACCUAUCACGGCGUUUUUAAAACGUCGAUAAAUGAGUAGUGACGUCAUUGUACAAUUAUGCAGCACAUUUAGCGGCGUUUUUAAAAACGC
Camellia sinensis is the source of this 1328-nucleotide non-coding RNA. Lineage: Eukaryota; Viridiplantae; Streptophyta; Magnoliopsida; Ericales; Theaceae. The record is from RefSeq and is a predicted model, not a curated record.